RNAcentral lists this ribosomal RNA (253 nucleotides) under uncultured bacterium. Its description in RNAcentral is "partial 16S ribosomal RNA". It matches the Rfam family "Bacterial small subunit ribosomal RNA", at positions 524 to 776 of the family's 1533-position model. The record is from RNAcentral.
UACGGAGGGGGCUAGCGUUGUUCGGAAUUACUGGGCGUAAAGCGCGCGUAGGCGGUCUUUUAAGUCAGAGGUGAAAGCCCGGGGCUCAACUCCGGAAUUGCCUUUGAAACUGGCAGACUUGAACACGGGAGAGGUGAGUGGAAUUCCGAGUGUAGAGGUGAAAUUCGUAGAUAUUGGGAGGAACACCGUUGGCGAAGGCGGCUAACUGGACCGUUGUUGACGCUGAGAAGCGAAAGCGUGGGGAGCAAACAGG